AGAGUUUGAUCAUGGCUCAGGACGAACGCUGGCGGCGUGCCUAAUACAUGCAAGUCGUGCGGUUUGAGAGGAGCUUGCUCCUCGAUGACAGCGGCGGACGGGUGAGUAACACGUGGGCAAUCUGCCCGACAGACUGGGAUAACGCUUGGAAACGAGUGCUAAUACCAGAUAGUCUUUUGAACUGCAUGGUUCGAAAGGGAAAGGAGCUAUCGCUCCACUGUCGGAUGAGCCCGCGGCGCAUUAGCUAGUUGGUGAGGUAACGGCUCACCAAGGCGACGAUGCGUAGCCGACCUGAGAGGGUGACCGGCCACACUGGGACUGAGACACGGCCCAGACUCCUACGGGAGGCAGCAGUAGGGAAUCUUCCGCAAUGGGCGCAAGCCUGACGGAGCAACGCCGCGUGAAUGAUGAAGGCCUUCGGGUUGUAAAAUUCUGUCUUCUGUGAAGAACAAGCGUGAGAGUGGAAAGCUCACGCCCUGACGGUAACAGAGGAGGAAGCCCCGGCUAACUACGUGCCAGCAGCCGCGGUAAUACGUAGGGGGCGAGCGUUGUCCGGAAUCACUGGGCGUAAAGCGCGCGCAGGCGGCCAUCUACGUCCGGGGUGAAAGCCCAGAGCUCAACUCUGGGAUUGCCUUGGAUACGGGGUGGCUUGAGGAUCGGAGAGGCAAGGGGAAUUCCACGUGUAGCGGUGAAAUGCGUAGAGAUGUGGAGGAACACCUGUGGCGAAGGCGCCUUGCUGGCCGAUUUCUGACGCUGAGGCGCGAAAGCGUGGGGAGCAAACAGGAUUAGAUACCCCCGUAGUCC
RNAcentral lists this ribosomal RNA (804 nucleotides) under uncultured bacterium. RNAcentral describes it as "bacterial SSU rRNA". It matches the Rfam family "Bacterial small subunit ribosomal RNA", at positions 8 to 796 of the family's 1533-position model. The record is from RNAcentral.